UAAGCGGAGGAAAAGAAACUAACAAGGAUUCCCCUAGUAACGGCGAGCGAAGCGGGAAGAGCUCAAAUUUGAAAGCUGGCACCUCCGGUGUCCGCGUUGUAAUCUCGAGACGUGUUUUCCGUGCGGCUCUAUGGACAAGUCCCUUGGAAUAGGGCAUCGUAGAGGGUGAGAAUCCCGUACUUGCCAUGGAAGAACCGUGCUUUGCGAUACACGCUCUAAGAGUCGAGUUGUUUGGGAUUGCAGCUCAAAAUGGGUGGUAGACUCCAUCUAAAGCUAAAUAUCGGGGAGAGACCGAUAGCGAACAAGUACCGUGAGGGAAAGAUGAAAAGCACUUUGGAAAGAGAGUUAAAAGUACGUGAAAUUGUCGAAAGGGAAGCACUUGAAGUCAGCCAUGCUGCUUGAGACUCAGCCUGGCCUUUGGGCUUGGUGUAUUUCUCGGUGGCAAGCCAGCAUUGGUUUGGGUCGUCGGAGAAGCGCAUAGGGAAUGUAGCGUCUCCGGACGUGUUAUAGCCUUAUGCAGGAUACGACGACCUGGAUCAAGGAACGCAGUGUGCCCUCUGGGCGGGUCUUCGGACACCUUCACACUUAGGAUGCUGGCGUAAUGGCUUUAAGUGGCCCGUCUUGA
RNAcentral lists this ribosomal RNA (625 nucleotides) under Malassezia globosa. RNAcentral's name for it is "eukaryotic LSU rRNA". It matches the Rfam family "Eukaryotic large subunit ribosomal RNA", at positions 47 to 657 of the family's 3401-position model. Lineage: Eukaryota; Fungi; Basidiomycota; Malasseziomycetes; Malasseziales; Malasseziaceae. The record is from RNAcentral.